Molecule: long non-coding RNA, 896 nt
Filed under: Brachypodium distachyon (stiff brome)
Lineage: Eukaryota; Viridiplantae; Streptophyta; Magnoliopsida; Poales; Poaceae
Description: long non-coding RNA (BDIS_LNC001046)
Source: RNAcentral
UAGAGAGAGAGGAAGAGAUCAACUGUCGGUUGUCGGCGGUUUGCGCUUCGGUGGCGGCUCAGGCUUUGGUUCGGGUUUGGGUUCUGGUUUAGGCAUCGGUUCAGGCUUGGGCUCGGGUUUUGGUUCAGGUUUAGGCAUGGGCUUAGGCAUGGGCUCAGGCUUUGGUUCUGGUUUAGGCAUUGGCUUAGGCUUGGGUUCGGGUUUUGGCUCUGGUUUGGGCAUUGGCUCAGGCUUGGGUUCUGGUUUAGGCAUGGGCUCAGGCUUUGGUUCCGGUUUAAUUGGCUCAGGCUUCGGUUCCGGCUUAGGCAUUGGCUCGGGCUUGGGCUCAGGUUUUGGCUCAGGUUUAGGCAUUGGCUCGGGUUUGGGCUCAGGUUUAGGCUCAGGUUUAGGCACUGGCUCAGGCUUAGGCUCGGGUUUAGGCUCAGGUUUAGGCACUGGCUUAGGCAUGGGCUCGGGUUUUGGUUCCGGUUUAGGCAUUGGCUCAGGUUUGGGCUCGGGUUUAGGCUCGGGUUUAGGCAUUGGCUUAGGCAUGGGCUCGGGUUUUGGUUCCGGUUUGGGCAUGGGCUCUGGUUUUGGCUCGGGUUUUGGCAUUGGCUUAGGCAUGGGCUCUGGUUUUGGUUCCGGUUUAGGCAUCGGCUCAGGUUUCGGCUCUGGUUUAGGCAUUGGUUUGGGCAUUGGUUCCGGCUUGGGCUCUGGCUUCGGCUCGGGCUUGGGCAUGGGUUCAGGUUUGGGCUCAGGUUUCGGUCCCGGUUUGGGCAUUGGUUCUGGCUUCGGCUCAGGUUUCGGUUCAGGUUUAGGCAUGGGUUCAGGUUUCGGUUCAGGUUUUGGCUCUGGUUUUGGCAUGGGCUUGGGCUCCGGUUUUGGCAUGGGUUUUGGUUCCGGCUUUGGCUCUGGCU